Molecule: ribosomal RNA, 465 nt
Filed under: Vreelandella stevensii
Lineage: Bacteria; Pseudomonadati; Pseudomonadota; Gammaproteobacteria; Oceanospirillales; Halomonadaceae
Description: partial 16S ribosomal RNA
Rfam family: Bacterial small subunit ribosomal RNA
Source: RNAcentral
CCUACGGGUGGCAGCAGUGGGGAAUAUUGGACAAUGGGGGCAACCCUGAUCCAGCCAUGCCGCGUGUGUGAAGAAGGCCCUCGGGUUGUAAAGCACUUUCAGUGAGGAAGAACGCCUGGUGGUUAAUACCCAUCAGGAAAGACAUCACUCACAGAAGAAGCACCGGCUAACUCCGUGCCAGCAGCCGCGGUAAUACGGAGGGUGCGAGCGUUAAUCGGAAUUACUGGGCGUAAAGCGCGCGUAGGUGGCUUGAUAAGCCGGUUGUGAAAGCCCCGGGCUCAACCUGGGAACGGCAUCCGGAACUGUCAAGCUAGAGUGCAGGAGAGGAAGGUAGAAUUCCCGGUGUAGCGGUGAAAUGCGUAGAGAUCGGGAGGAAUACCAGUGGCAAAGGCGGCCUUCUGGACUGACACUGACACUGAGGUGCGAAAGCGUGGGUAGCAAACAGGAUUAGAUACCCCAGUAGUC